Molecule: unclassified non-coding RNA, 474 nt
Filed under: Hevea brasiliensis (rubber tree)
Lineage: Eukaryota; Viridiplantae; Streptophyta; Magnoliopsida; Malpighiales; Euphorbiaceae
Source: RNAcentral
AGGGGUGUGCAUCGGUUGGGUCAGUUCGGUUCGGUCUAAAAAAUUGAAAAACUGAAUAAACUGUACCAAUAAAAAAUCCAAACAUAACCGAAAUACCGCUAAAAUCGAAUUAAAUCAAACCUAAAUAAUUUGGCUCCAUUCAGUUCAAUUUGUCUGUUUUGAACAAAGGCAAUUUUUAUAGACAAUUUAAAUUAUUUUUAAGAGAAAUAUUAACUAAAAAACACAAAAAUAACCCCUGCAAUUCGUCUUCUUGAAAAUUUUGAUCCUCAAAACAAUACCAUUACACAAGGAGAGCCAAAGGAUAAUACCAUUCAUAAUGUGUCUGCAUUAAAAAAAGUGAAAUACAUGAAAGGAAGAAGAAUAUUACAAAGUUAAAAGAAAAAAAAAAACCUUAAACAUGAACAAAUUACUCAAAAACAAAUGAAAUAUCCAAAAUAUGAAGCUUGUGACAACUAAUAAGAGAAAUAUUACAAA